This is a long non-coding RNA of Mycetomoellerius zeteki, 113 nucleotides long. RefSeq lists it as uncharacterized. The transcript is spliced from 3 exons. Lineage: Eukaryota; Metazoa; Arthropoda; Insecta; Hymenoptera; Formicidae. The record is from RefSeq and is a predicted model, not a curated record.
UCUCUCUCUCAUGGCUGCAUUCCACUUAAAGCUCGCAAUGCUCGCGAGCAUCGUUUGUCCUCGUUUAACAUUUGAUAAACGACAAGGAUGAAAUGAUUCCAUGAGCGUGUGAC